CAGGGCGCAGUGAAGCAAGCGCUACGUUCGGGACGUAGAGGUCGCUGGUUCAAAUCCAGUCACCCCGA
RNAcentral lists this transfer RNA (68 nucleotides) under Planctomycetota bacterium. RNAcentral's name for it is "Planctomycetes bacterium (hydrothermal vent metagenome) tRNA-Pro". It matches the Rfam family "tRNA". Rfam says of the family: Transfer RNA (tRNA) molecules are approximately 80 nucleotides in length. Their secondary structure includes four short double-helical elements and three loops (D, anti-codon, and T loops). Further hydrogen bonds mediate the characteristic L-shaped molecular structure. tRNAs have two regions of fundamental functional importance: the anti-codon, which is responsible for specific mRNA codon recognition, and the 3' end, to which the tRNAs corresponding amino acid is attached (by aminoacyl-tRNA synthetases). tRNAs cope with the degeneracy of the genetic code in two manners: having more than one tRNA (with a specific anti-codon) for a particular amino acid; and 'wobble' base-pairing, i.e. permitting non-standard base-pairing at the 3rd anti-codon position. The record is from RNAcentral. Lineage: Bacteria; Pseudomonadati; Planctomycetota.